GACGAACGCUGGCGGCGUGCUUAACACAUGCAAGUCGAACGAAGAGCGACGGAAGCUUGCUUCUAUCAAUCUCAGUGGCGAACGGGUGAGUAACGCGUAAUCAACCUGCCCUUCAGAGGGGGACAACAGUUGGAAACGACUGCUAAUACCGCAUACGAUCUAAUCUCGGCAUCGAGGAUAGAUGAAAGGUGGCCUCUACAUGUAAGCUAUCACUGAAGGAGGGGAUUGCGUCUGAUUAGCUAGUUGGAGGGGUAACGGCCCACCAAGGCGAUGAUCAGUAGCCGGUCUGAGAGGAUGAACGGCCACAUUGGGACUGAGACACGGCCCAGACUCCUACGGGAGGCAGCAGUGGGGAAUCUUCCGCAAUGGACGAAAGUCUGACGGAGCAACGCCGCGUGAGUGAUGACGGCCUUCGGGUUGUAAAGCUCUGUUAAUCGGGACGAAAGGCCUUCUUGCGAAUAGUGAGAAAGGA
RNAcentral lists this ribosomal RNA (472 nucleotides) under Veillonella parvula. RNAcentral describes it as "bacterial SSU rRNA". It matches the Rfam family "Bacterial small subunit ribosomal RNA", at positions 28 to 472 of the family's 1533-position model. Lineage: Bacteria; Bacillati; Bacillota; Negativicutes; Veillonellales; Veillonellaceae. The record is from RNAcentral.